GCAAGCACAAGGAAGUAUCAACGUCUGCAUAUAUUUAUUAGAAAAAAGAUAACAUAAAUAUUGAUUUCCAUACUGACGAGCAAGUUUACUAUAACUAAAGCAGCAAAAGUGUGAGGAAGAAAUGCUUACCACAAACAUUGUGAGCAAGGAUCCUAUCAGUGACAUCACCAGUCCUGAACAAAUAUGCACAAACCAAAACAACAGAACUGAUCAGCAAAUGUUGACAUUACAAGGGGAGAGACUAACUGAUUCAGACUAACCGAAGAAGGGAACCGAGAGACCAACGACCAAUGUGGAGAGAACCAGCAAUGUCCUAAUCCCCUUCCCAAAGAUAUAUGACUUGUUCUUGUUCAUGUUUGCUGGCAU
This 366-nucleotide long non-coding RNA is filed under the name Linum usitatissimum (flax). RNAcentral's name for it is "long non-coding RNA (LUSI_LNC001302)". The record is from RNAcentral. Lineage: Eukaryota; Viridiplantae; Streptophyta; Magnoliopsida; Malpighiales; Linaceae.